Molecule: ribosomal RNA, 469 nt
Filed under: uncultured bacterium
Lineage: Bacteria
Description: partial 16S ribosomal RNA
Rfam family: Bacterial small subunit ribosomal RNA
Source: RNAcentral
GACGAACGCUGGCGGCGUGCUUAACACAUGCAAGUCGAACGGAAAGGCCCUGCUUGCAGGGUGCUCGAGUGGCGAACGGGUGAGUAACACGUGGGUGAUCUGCCCCUUACUUUGGGAUAAGCCUGGGAAACUGGGUCUAAUACUGGAUAGGACCAUGCUGUAGGUGGUGUGGUGGAAAGAUUAGUUUCGGUAAGGGAUGAGCUCGCGGCCUAUCAGCUUGUUGGUGGGGUAAUGGCCUACCAAGGCGUCGACGGGUAGCCGGCCUGAGAGGGUGGACGGCCACAUUGGGACUGAGAUACGGCCCAGACGCCUACGGGAGGCAGCAGUGGGGAAUAUUGCAAAAUGGGCGCAAGCCUGAUGCAGCGACGCCGCGUGGGGGAUGACGGCCUUCGGGUUGUAAACUCCUUUCAGCCAUGACGAAGCCCUUGUGGUGACGGUAGUGGUAGAAGAAGCACCGGCUAACUACGUG